Molecule: ribosomal RNA, 253 nt
Filed under: uncultured bacterium
Lineage: Bacteria
Description: partial 16S ribosomal RNA
Rfam family: Bacterial small subunit ribosomal RNA
Source: RNAcentral
UACAGAGGUCUCAAGCGUUGUUCGGAUUCAUUGGGCGUAAAGGGUGCGUAGGCGGCGCGGUAAGUCGGGUGUGAAAUCUCGGGGCUUAACUCCGAAACUGCAUUCGAUACUGCCGUGCUUGAGGACUGGAGAGGAGACUGGAAUUUACGGUGUAGCGGUGAAAUGCGUAGAUAUCGUAAGGAAGACCAGUGGCGAAGGCGGGUCUCUGGACAGUUCCUGACGCUGAGGCACGAAGGCGUGGGGAGCGAACAGG